Molecule: ribosomal RNA, 2929 nt
Filed under: Escherichia coli
Lineage: Bacteria; Pseudomonadati; Pseudomonadota; Gammaproteobacteria; Enterobacterales; Enterobacteriaceae
Description: 23S ribosomal RNA
Rfam family: Bacterial large subunit ribosomal RNA
Source: RNAcentral
GGGUUGUGAGGUUAAGCGACUAAGCGUACACGGUGGAUGCCCUGGCAGUCAGAGGCGAUGAAGGACGUGCUAAUCUGCGAUAAGCGUCGGUAAGGUGAUAUGAACCGUUAUAACCGGCGAUUUCCGAAUGGGGAAACCCAGUGUGUUUCGACACACUAUCAUUAACUGAAUCCAUAGGUUAAUGAGGCGAACCGGGGGAACUGAAACAUCUAAGUACCCCGAGGAAAAGAAAUCAACCGAGAUUCCCCCAGUAGCGGCGAGCGAACGGGGAGCAGCCCAGAGCCUGAAUCAGUAUGUGUGUUAGUGGAAGCGUCUGGAAAGGCGCGCGAUACAGGGUGACAGCCCCGUACACAAAAAUGCACAUGCUGUGAGCUCGAUGAGUAGGGCGGGACACGUGGUAUCCUGUCUGAAUAUGGGGGGACCAUCCUCCAAGGCUAAAUACUCCUGACUGACCGAUAGUGAACCAGUACCGUGAGGGAAAGGCGAAAAGAACCCCGGCGAGGGGAGUGAAAAAGAACCUGAAACCGUGUACGUACAAGCAGUGGGAGCACGCUUAGGCGUGUGACUGCGUACCUUUUGUAUAAUGGGUCAGCGACUUAUAUUCUGUAGCAAGGUUAACCGAAUAGGGGAGCCGAAGGGAAACCGAGUCUUAACUGGGCGUUAAGUUGCAGGGUAUAGACCCGAAACCCGGUGAUCUAGCCAUGGGCAGGUUGAAGGUUGGGUAACACUAACUGGAGGACCGAACCGACUAAUGUUGAAAAAUUAGCGGAUGACUUGUGGCUGGGGGUGAAAGGCCAAUCAAACCGGGAGAUAGCUGGUUCUCCCCGAAAGCUAUUUAGGUAGCGCCUCGUGAAUUCAUCUCCGGGGGUAGAGCACUGUUUCGGCAAGGGGGUCAUCCCGACUUACCAACCCGAUGCAAACUGCGAAUACCGGAGAAUGUUAUCACGGGAGACACACGGCGGGUGCUAACGUCCGUCGUGAAGAGGGAAACAACCCAGACCGCCAGCUAAGGUCCCAAAGUCAUGGUUAAGUGGGAAACGAUGUGGGAAGGCCCAGACAGCCAGGAUGUUGGCUUAGAAGCAGCCAUCAUUUAAAGAAAGCGUAAUAGCUCACUGGUCGAGUCGGCCUGCGCGGAAGAUGUAACGGGGCUAAACCAUGCACCGAAGCUGCGGCAGCGACACUAUGUGUUGUUGGGUAGGGGAGCGUUCUGUAAGCCUGUGAAGGUGUGCUGUGAGGUAUGCUGGAGGUAUCAGAAGUGCGAAUGCUGACAUAAGUAACGAUAAAGCGGGUGAAAAGCCCGCUCGCCGGAAGACCAAGGGUUCCUGUCCAACGUUAAUCGGGGCAGGGUGAGUCGACCCCUAAGGCGAGGCCGAAAGGCGUAGUCGAUGGGAAACAGGUUAAUAUUCCUGUACUUGGUGUUACUGCGAAGGGGGGACGGAGAAGGCUAUGUUGGCCGGGCGACGGUUGUCCCGGUUUAAGCGUGUAGGCUGGUUUUCCAGGCAAAUCCGGAAAAUCAAGGCUGAGGCGUGAUGACGAGGCACUACGGUGCUGAAGCAACAAAUGCCCUGCUUCCAGGAAAAGCCUCUAAGCAUCAGGUAACAUCAAAUCGUACCCCAAACCGACACAGGUGGUCAGGUAGAGAAUACCAAGGCGCUUGAGAGAACUCGGGUGAAGGAACUAGGCAAAAUGGUGCCGUAACUUCGGGAGAAGGCACGCUGAUAUGUAGGUGAAGUCCCUUGCGGAUGGAGCUGAAAUCAGUCGAAGAUACCAGCUGGCUGCAACUGUUUAUUAAAAACACAGCACUGUGCAAACACGAAAGUGGACGUAUACGGUGUGACGCCUGCCCGGUGCCGGAAGGUUAAUUGAUGGGGUCAGCGCAAGCGAAGCUCUUGAUCGAAGCCCCGGUAAACGGCGGCCGUAACUAUAACGGUCCUAAGGUAGCGAAAUUCCUUGUCGGGUAAGUUCCGACCUGCACGAAUGGCGUAAUGAUGGCCAGGCUGUCUCCACCCGAGACUCAGUGAAAUUGAACUCGCUGUGAAGAUGCAGUGUACCCGCGGCAAGACGGAAAGACCCCGUGAACCUUUACUAUAGCUUGACACUGAACAUUGAGCCUUGAUGUGUAGGAUAGGUGGGAGGCUUUGAAGUGUGGACGCCAGUCUGCAUGGAGCCGACCUUGAAAUACCACCCUUUAAUGUUUGAUGUUCUAACGUUGACCCGUAAUCCGGGUUGCGGACAGUGUCUGGUGGGUAGUUUGACUGGGGCGGUCUCCUCCUAAAGAGUAACGGAGGAGCACGAAGGUUGGCUAAUCCUGGUCGGACAUCAGGAGGUUAGUGCAAUGGCAUAAGCCAGCUUGACUGCGAGCGUGACGGCGCGAGCAGGUGCGAAAGCAGGUCAUAGUGAUCCGGUGGUUCUGAAUGGAAGGGCCAUCGCUCAACGGAUAAAAGGUACUCCGGGGAUAACAGGCUGAUACCGCCCAAGAGUUCAUAUCGACGGCGGUGUUUGGCACCUCGAUGUCGGCUCAUCACAUCCUGGGGCUGAAGUAGGUCCCAAGGGUAUGGCUGUUCGCCAUUUAAAGUGGUACGCGAGCUGGGUUUAGAACGUCGUGAGACAGUUCGGUCCCUAUCUGCCGUGGGCGCUGGAGAACUGAGGGGGGCUGCUCCUAGUACGAGAGGACCGGAGUGGACGCAUCACUGGUGUUCGGGUUGUCAUGCCAAUGGCACUGCCCGGUAGCUAAAUGCGGAAGAGAUAAGUGCUGAAAGCAUCUAAGCACGAAACUUGCCCCGAGAUGAGUUCUCCCUGACCCUUUAAGGGUCCUGAAGGAACGUUGAAGACGACGACGUUGAUAGGCCGGGUGUGUAAGCGCAGCGAUGCGUUGAGCUAACCGGUACUAAUGAACCGUGAGGCUUAACCUUACAACGCCGAAGCUGUU